AGCAAAUAGAUACCCGGGUAGUCCAUGCCGUAAACUAUGGAUACUAGCUGUUGGGGGUAUCGACCCCUCCAGUAGCGAAAGCUAAACGCGUUAAGUAUCCCGCCUGUGGAGUACGAUCGCAAGAUUAAAACAUAAAGGAAUUGACGGGGACCCACACAAGCGGUGGAGCGUGUUCUUUAAAUUCGAUGCUAAACGAAGAACCUUACCAGGGCUUGACAUCCCUUGAAUUACUCCGAAAGGAGUGAGUGCCUUAUUGAGCAAGGUGACAGGUGAUGCAUGGCCGUCGUCAGCUCGUGUCGUGAGAUGUUUGGUUAAGUCCAUCAACGAGCGCAACCCUUAUACUUAGUUGUAUUUUUCUAGGUAGACUG
Molecule: ribosomal RNA, 368 nt
Filed under: uncultured bacterium
Lineage: Bacteria
Description: bacterial SSU rRNA
Rfam family: Bacterial small subunit ribosomal RNA
Source: RNAcentral